This 3135-nucleotide ribosomal RNA is filed under the name Nonomuraea gerenzanensis. Its description in RNAcentral is "Large Subunit Ribosomal RNA; lsuRNA; LSU rRNA". The stretch from base 688 to 2206 matches the Rfam family "Bacterial small subunit ribosomal RNA". The record is from RNAcentral. Lineage: Bacteria; Bacillati; Actinomycetota; Actinomycetes; Streptosporangiales; Streptosporangiaceae.
CACGGCCCAGCUGUGAGGCCGCGGUCGGGUCGGAGCGGUGAGGCCGUCACCAGGGCCGUGCCGCCGUCGACGGGCCGGGCCGGAGCGAUGGGGCCAAAGCCGGAGCCCGCGUCGGCGCUGUGAUGACGCGCUGCACCCGCACACCGCCCAUGACCUCGGUCCGGAGGCCAAGUCAGCGGAGCCACGCGGGGCGAUUUGACGUCGCGCGAAUCGCGACCUAAUCUUUCACUUCGCCCCGGGAGUGAGCCGGACGCCGGUCAGGCGGACGGGCCCCAGGGCAAGCCCCUUGAAACAAACGAGCCAACCCGGCAGAGCCGCUUCGGCGUGCUCCCGCAUGGGCGGCUUCUGGGCGUGCUCGGGUCACCGGAAAAUCGGUUGAUUCGACACGAGCCGGAUGCCACGGUAAGUUACGAGGGUUGCCUCGGAAACGGGGCGCACAACUUUGGAAGAUCGAACCACUUCCAGUCAAGUCCCUGGAUUUGACACGAAGCACGACGAUCUGAUAAAGUUGAGAAGAGCGAGAUAGCGCCUCCGCGCUGAGGUCCAGGAUUCUGGAUCUGAGCGGGAAGUACGCGUCCGUUUCUUGAGAACUCAACAGUGUGUUAAAAGCCAGUGCAUGAUUUUCAUGCAACACCUCGUCAAGACAUGAUUCUUGAUGGAUUUUGCUCGGAUGAAUAAUCCAGACAUUGUUUGGAGAGUUUGAUCCUGGCUCAGGACGAACGCUGGCGGCGUGCUUAACACAUGCAAGUCGAGCGGAAAGGCCCUUCGGGGUACUCGAGCGGCGAACGGGUGAGUAACACGUGAGCAACCUGCCCCUGACUCUGGGAUAAGCCCGGGAAACUGGGUCUAAUACCGGAUACGACCGCCUCCGGCAUCGGGUGGUGGUGGAAAGUUUUUCGGUCGGGGAUGGGCUCGCGGCCUAUCAGCUUGUUGGUGGGGUAGUGGCCUACCAAGGCGACGACGGGUAGCCGGCCUGAGAGGGCGACCGGCCACACUGGGACUGAGACACGGCCCAGACUCCUACGGGAGGCAGCAGUGGGGAAUAUUGCGCAAUGGGCGGAAGCCUGACGCAGCGACGCCGCGUGGGGGAUGACGGCCUUCGGGUUGUAAACCUCUUUCAGCAGGGACGAAGUUGACGUGUACCUGCAGAAGAAGCGCCGGCUAACUACGUGCCAGCAGCCGCGGUAAUACGUAGGGCGCAAGCGUUGUCCGGAAUUAUUGGGCGUAAAGAGCUCGUAGGUGGCUGGUCGCGUCUGCCGUGAAAGCCCGCAGCUUAACUGCGGGUCUGCGGUGGAUACGGGCCGGCUAGAGGUAGGUAGGGGCAAGUGGAAUUCCUGGUGUAGCGGUGAAAUGCGCAGAUAUCAGGAGGAACACCGGUGGCGAAGGCGGCUUGCUGGGCCUUACCUGACGCUGAGGAGCGAAAGCGUGGGGAGCGAACAGGAUUAGAUACCCUGGUAGUCCACGCUGUAAACGUUGGGCGCUAGGUGUGGGGAUCUUCCACGAUCUCCGUGCCGGAGCUAACGCAUUAAGCGCCCCGCCUGGGGAGUACGGCCGCAAGGCUAAAACUCAAAGGAAUUGACGGGGGCCCGCACAAGCGGCGGAGCAUGUUGCUUAAUUCGACGCAACGCGAAGAACCUUACCAAGGUUUGACAUCACCCGGAAAGCUCUGGAGACAGAGCCCUCUUCGGACUGGGUGACAGGUGGUGCAUGGCUGUCGUCAGCUCGUGUCGUGAGAUGUUGGGUUAAGUCCCGCAACGAGCGCAACCCUUGCUCCAUGUUGCCAGCAGGCGCUUCGGCGUGCUGGGGACUCAUGGGGGACUGCCGGGGUCAACUCGGAGGAAGGUGGGGAUGACGUCAAGUCAUCAUGCCCCUUAUGUCUUGGGCUGCAAACAUGCUACAAUGGCCGGUACAGAGGGUUGCGAUACCGUGAGGUGGAGCGAAUCCCUAAAAGCCGGUCUCAGUUCGGAUUGGGGUCUGCAACUCGACCCCAUGAAGUCGGAGUCGCUAGUAAUCGCAGAUCAGCAAUGCUGCGGUGAAUACGUUCCCGGGCCUUGUACACACCGCCCGUCACGUCACGAAAGUCGGCAACACCCGAAGCCCGUGGCCCAACCCGUAAGGGGGGGAGCGGUCGAAGGUGGGGCUGGCGAUUGGGACGAAGUCGUAACAAGGUAGCCGUACCGGAAGGUGCGGCUGGAUCACCUCCUUUCUAAGGAGCACUCUCACCUAUCACCGCCGAAUGUGUGGUGGGGUGACAGCUCACUAGUGGAGCACUGGCUACUCAGACGGAAAGACCCCGGGACCUUCACUACAGCUUGACAUUGGCGUUUGGAGCGUCUUGUGUAGGAUAGGUGGGAGACUGGGAAGCUCGGACGCUAGUUCGGGUGGAGUCAUUGGUGAAAUACCACUCUGGUCGUUUUGAACGUCUAACUCUGGUCCGUGAUCCGGAUCGGGGACAGUGUCUGGUGGGUAGUUUAACUGGGGCGGUUGCCUCCUAAAGGGUAACGGAGGCGCCCAAAGGUUCCCUCAGCCUGGUUGGCAAUCAGGUGUCGAGUGUAAGUGCACAAGGGAGCUUGACUGUGAGACUGACGGGUCGAGCAGGAGCGAAAGCUGGGACUAGUGAUCCGGCAUCGGCGUGUGGAAGCGGUGUCGCUCAACGGCUAAAAGGUACCCCGGGGAUAACAGGCUGAUCUUCCCCAAGAGUCCAUAUCGACGGGAUGGUUUGGCACCUCGAUGUCGGCUCGUCGCAUCCUGGGGCUGGAGUAGGUCCCAAGGGUUGGGCUGUUCGCCCAUUAAAGCGGUACGCGAGCUGGGUUUAGAACGUCGCGAGACAGUUCGGUCCCUAUCCGCUGCGCGCGCAGGAGACUUGAAAGGGGCUGUCCCUAGUACGAGAGGACCGGGACGGACGAACCUCUGGUGUGCCAGUUGUACCGCCAGGUGCACGGCUGGUUGGCUACGUUCGGAAGGGAUAACCGCUGAAAGCAUCUAAGCGGGAAGCUCGCCUUGAGAUGAGGUCUCCCACCACGAGAGUGGGUAAGGCUCCCGGUAGACGACCGGGUUGAUAGGCCGGAGGUGGAAGCACGGUAACGUGUGGAGCUGACCGGUACUAAUAGGCCGAGGACUUGACCACAAAGCAUC